GAUGAACGCUCGCGAUAGGCUUAACACAUGCAAGUCGAGGGGCAGCAUGGUCUUAGCUUGCUAAGACUGAUGGCGACCGGCGCACGGGUGCGUAACGCGUAUGCAACUUGCCUCACAGAGGGGGAUAACCCGUCGAAAGACGGACUAAUACCGCGUACACUCCAUCUUGGGCAUCCAAGGUAGAGGAAAUGAAAUUCGCUGUGAGAUAGGCAUGCGUCCCAUUAGCUAGUUGGUGAGGUAACGGCUCACCAAGGCGACGAUGGGUAGGGGAACUGAGAGGGGGAACCCCCACACUGGUACUGAGACACGGACCAGACUCCUACGGGAGGCAGCAGUGAGGAAUAUUGGUCAAUGGGCGAGAGCCUGAACCAGCCAAGUCGCGUGAAGGAUGACUGUCUUAUGGAUUGUAAACUUCUUUUAUACGGGAAUAACAAGAGUCACGUGUGACUCCCUGCAUGUACCGUAUGAAUAAGCAUCGGCUAACUCCGUG
This 490-nucleotide ribosomal RNA is filed under the name uncultured bacterium. RNAcentral's name for it is "partial 16S ribosomal RNA". It matches the Rfam family "Bacterial small subunit ribosomal RNA", at positions 28 to 507 of the family's 1533-position model. The record is from RNAcentral.